GAGGCCCAGAGUUCGGGUGGUCUGAAUCGGUGAGCCCUGCUCCAGCUGCUGCUGGUGUGGCUGAAGAGGAUGUGGCCCAGGAUCUUCCCCGUGCCCCAACUCCUCAUGCCGCAGCUGCGAGAUGGGGGC
Rhipicephalus sanguineus (brown dog tick) is the source of this 129-nucleotide long non-coding RNA. RefSeq lists it as uncharacterized. The record is from RefSeq and is a predicted model, not a curated record. Lineage: Eukaryota; Metazoa; Arthropoda; Arachnida; Ixodida; Ixodidae. The transcript is spliced from 3 exons.